This is a long non-coding RNA of Dermacentor silvarum, 247 nucleotides long. RefSeq lists it as uncharacterized. Lineage: Eukaryota; Metazoa; Arthropoda; Arachnida; Ixodida; Ixodidae. The transcript has 3 exons. The record is from RefSeq and is a predicted model, not a curated record.
GCCGGAUUCUGCUGCGACUGAGGAUGGCAAUACCGACAUGCAGUAAAAAGGAUGGCACCAGUGUAAAGCAACACACUCCACACACCAAAGACAAGCUACUUCCUGCUACAACAAGGCCAUUGUGUGGACUUUGGCUGUUACUACAAGAAUCUGCACCAAGCACACCAUGGUCCUCAUCACAGGAGCCCCCAUCUACCCUGACAGGAAGGGGCUGGAGCCAAAUUUACAAGGAUUUUACACCACAAAG